RNAcentral lists this ribosomal RNA (254 nucleotides) under uncultured bacterium. RNAcentral's name for it is "partial 16S ribosomal RNA". It matches the Rfam family "Bacterial small subunit ribosomal RNA", at positions 524 to 776 of the family's 1533-position model. The record is from RNAcentral.
UACGAAGGGGGCUAGCGUUGUUCGGAGUUACUGGGCGUAAAGGGCGCGUAGGCGGUCGUGACAAGUCACUUGUGAAAUCUCCGGGCUUAACUCGGAACGGUCAAGUGAUACUGUCGGACUAGAGUACAGAAGGGGCAACUGGAAUUCUCGGUGUAGCGGUGAAAUGCGUAGAUAUCGAGAGGAACACCUGCGGCGAAGGCGGGUUGCUGGGCUGAUACUGACGCUGAGGCGCGAAAGCCAGGGGAGCGAACGGG